GACGAACGCUGGCGGCGUGCCUAAUACAUGCAAGUUGAGCGCUGAAGGUUGGUACUUGUACCCACUGGAUGAGCAGCGAACGGGUGAGUAACGCGUGGGGAAUCUGCCUUUGAGCGGGGGACAACAUUUGGAAACGAAUGCUAAUACCGCAUAAAAACUUUAAACACAAGUUUUAAGUUUGAAAGAUGCAAUUGCAUCACUCAAAGAUGAUCCCGCGUUGUAUUAGCUAGUUGGUGAGGUAAAGGCUCACCAAGGCGAUGAUACAUAGCCGACCUGAGAGGGUGAUCGGCCACAUUGGGACUGAGACACGGCCCAAACUCCUACGGGAGGCAGCAGUAGGGAAUCUUCGGCAAUGGACGAAAGUCUGACCGAGCAACGCCGCGUGAGUGAAGAAGGUUUUCGGAUCGUAAAACUCUGUUGGUAGAGAAGAACGUUGGUGAGAGUGGAAAGCUCAUCAAGUGACGGUAACUACACAGAAAGGGACGGCUAACUACGUG
This 497-nucleotide ribosomal RNA is filed under the name uncultured bacterium. RNAcentral describes it as "partial 16S ribosomal RNA". It matches the Rfam family "Bacterial small subunit ribosomal RNA", at positions 28 to 507 of the family's 1533-position model. The record is from RNAcentral.